CACAGCCGGGCAGGGCCUGACACACAGCUUCAGUACACUGAGGACACAACCAAACCAGGUCUCGGAAAGUCUGCACCACCACUACAAUACAGGCCAGGGUACAAGAGCACAGGAUUAGAGCCUCCAGGUUCUCAAGAAGGAAAAGGAGCAGACACCUACCUAUGGCAAAGAUGGCAGCCUGUGCAAAGUCCGCAGACACAUCCGUGCAGUACCCUCGAAGCUCCUCUAGCACCUGCUGCACAUUCUCAUCGUUCACCAGCUCACACAGCACCUCCACUUUCUGUAGUUUGAUGUAGUGGGGCUCCGAGUAGGAGCAAAAAAACUUUUUGUAGUGGCUACUAAAGUGACCUGGUAAACUAUGCAAGAUCUGGCGUACAUGACAAAGAGCAACAAAACAGAGCUCACGGCUCUCUGAAGAACAGGCAGCUAGCAAAGGUCCCUUGACCCGCACAAGGACAUCAGUUUGUACGUGGGGAAACUUUUUUGCCAAGAUCAGAAAAAGUUUGGUAGCUCCCAUCACCACACCUGGGCUACUGCUCUUGAGGAAACUAUCCAACAGAUUGAGAAUGUCAAAUAGUUCUUCCUCACUGCGGGGUUGGUAGCGUAGCAGAAAGUUCAAUACUUCAGCCUGGCCCCAUUGGUCCAGUUUUGACAUUCUAUCCAAAAAAGAAAACAAAAGAGCUACUUUAGCAACAAAAUUAGGACCAUUUCCAUGCCACUGCCAUAUGACCAGAUGGUUGUUCAUCAUAGCAAAGGGAGAAUUCUUAAAAAUAGGCUGUGCCAUAAUUAAGUCACUUUUCAUGUACUAUUUAAAGUUUACACAAAAAAGGCUUAAAAUUCCAAGAUGAGUUGUUAAUACAAAUGCACACUCAUCUAAGACCAAAGACAUGAUCAGCAUACACUGGGUCCAGGUUCCUUACAUUUUAAGACACUAUAAAUGGCUUAGUUUGGGGGACAUGACUAGAGAAGGGUAGAACCUAUUUCCACAGUAUAUUUCUAUUUCCCUAUAUCAAUAAGGGAAAGUAAGGCAAAUAAAAGAAAUUCUCUCAGUGAAAUGUGAGGGAGUUAAUAGUGGUUAACUGGCCGGGCACGGUGGCUCACGUCUGUAAUCCCAGCACUUUGGGAGGCUGAGGCGGGCGGAUCACCUGAGGUCAGAAGUUUGGGACCAGCCUGACCAACAUGGCGAAACCCUGUCUCUACUAAAAAUACAAAAUUAGCCGGGCGUGGUGGCGCAUGCCUAUAAUCCCAGCUACUCGGGAGGCUGAGGCAGGAGAAUUGCUUGAACCCAGGAGGCGGAGGUUGCGGUAAGCCGAGAUAGCGCCAUUGCACUCCAGCUUAGACAACAAGAGCAAAACUCCAUCUCAAAUAAUAAUAAUAAUAAUGGUUAACUUUCUUUUCUACCCCACAUAAGUUGUUCAAUACUUUAAUACAUCAACAAGAUCCCACAAGGUAGCAGAUCUCAUAAUAAAAAGAGUGCUGAGGCAUCCAAACCGAUUUAAGAGAUGGUGAGCAAUGGGCUUAUUGAUGACAACGCCUCCUUCCUGUUUCAGAAUUUCCUCUAGAGACCUCAAGCAGUUCACAACUACAAUUGGAUCCUGGUCACGCAGCAAACUGUAUAAUUCAUUUACCAGGGCACCAUCUAUAAAAAAGAACAAAGUUCUUAGAUAAAGAAGGAAAGCUUCAGAGUAACAGGGAUGUAGCCAGAGUAAUAGCUCCAGGUAGACAAAGUUGAACUUCUCUGCUACAAAAAUGACAAAGGCCACACUAAAGUGCAAGGCAAAAAAAAACUGCCAUGUCCAGACUGUUCUAAGCAGCUAAUACAAAGGAUCUCACUGGGGCCCCAGAGAAAGGACUUCUCAUCUCCAGAAGAUACCAAGCCCUGCAUCCUACUUAAAGAGAUAUAUACAGAACUGGGGCCACAUUAUUAUUUUCUACUAAAGCCACACAAUCUUUUUUAAAGUUAUACAUAAUGGAGGCACAUUGACCAUGAUGGAUUACACUGAACUUACCUACUUCAGAGUCUCCAUGAAGAUUAUGCAUCUUGGCACAUCCAAGGACUGCCACUCUCCUGACAUAUGAAGCCUUAUCCCGCAGACCAUUGAGAAUAGGCUGUUGUAUAUACUCCUGCACACCAGGCAUCCUAAGCAACACAUCCUGGAGUUAGCCAGAUUCUGAAAUACUAAUUUUGACAUACCUCAGCCCCUGUUCACCUAACAGACGGUUUAGUAGAUGCUGCACCCAUCAGAUCAUGAAGAAUUGCAGAAAGCCUCUAUCGAGCUUAAAAAGCCAUAAUUUGACUUUUCUGGUUUUUUCUUGUUUUUUUCAAGAUGGGGUCUCACUUUGUCACCCAGUGGCCCGAUCAUUCACUGCUGCCUCGAAUUCCCGGGCCCAAGCCAUCCUCCUGCCUCAGCCUUCCUAGUAGCUGAGACUACAGGUGCGUGUCACCAUGCCCAUUUAAUUUUUUGUAGAUAUAGGCUCUCACCAUCUUG
This is a long non-coding RNA of Pan troglodytes (chimpanzee), 2489 nucleotides long. RefSeq lists it as uncharacterized. The record is from RefSeq and is a predicted model, not a curated record. NCBI's taxonomy places the organism in Eukaryota, Metazoa, Chordata, Mammalia, Primates, Hominidae. The transcript is spliced from 2 exons.